This 1601-nucleotide long non-coding RNA is filed under the name Homo sapiens (human). Its description in RNAcentral is "HSALNT0307931". The record is from RNAcentral. Lineage: Eukaryota; Metazoa; Chordata; Mammalia; Primates; Hominidae.
GUUGCAGAGAGGAAGAGUCGCUAACCCGGAGUGUUUCUUAAAACUUGGCUGACCUGUGACCUGCGGAUUUGGAGGCUGAAUUCUCCGAGCACCUGAAGCUACUGCAGGAUAUAAUCUAAGAAAAUAAGGGGAAGAAAACAAGAAAGAGGAAGACAUUGGAUCCAAGAAAUGGGGGAUCUAUCACCUUACAGAUGAAAAGAGAAUCUACAUGAUCUUUGUGAAGAUAUGACCUUGGGACUUGCUUUAGCCAGUGGAAUGGAAGCAGAAGUAACCUGUAAUUUCCAGGUAUAUGUUUUAAAAGUCUGUGUGUAAUUUGCUACUCUUCUCCCUUUGCCGUAUGCCUGGUUUGUCUCUUUUCCCUCCCCUUCUCCCACUUCUUCCUUUUAAUAGACUGGAAAUGUUCCAGAUAGUACCAGCUCUUUAAACCUGAGUCCUAGAGUAAAGAUGGCAGAGUGGAGCCUCAAGCCAACGUGUGACAGAUAUGUAAAUAGACCAAGAAAUAAAUCUUUGGGUGUUUUGAAGCACCUGAGACUCUGAGGUUGUCUGUUAUUGAAACGUAACCUAGCCUACCCUGACUGCUGCAGGUUUUCUCAAGAUUAAUGAGAUAAUAUGCAUAAGAUGUUGGACUAAUGGUAGAGCAUUUUUAUGGGUCCUUUUGCAAUAAUAUUAGGUUGGUGCAAAAGUAAUUGUGGUUUUUGCCAUUAGUUUCAGAGUUAUUAUUAAUACAAUUUAUUCAUUCAAUGCCUUCCAUAUGCCAGGCAUUUGUGUACAUUAUCACUAAUCUUCAGAAUAAAUUUGAAAUAUUAUAAAAACCUCCAUUUUAUAAGGGAGAAAAAACAAAGCUUGGAAUGGUUAGCAUUCUGCCAAAUGUCAUCCAGCUAGGAAGCUGCAGAGCUGGCUUUCAAACCUCAUGCGUUUCUCCCCUCUUUCUCUUUUUUCCUUGUCUUUGGAAGUUUAUGUCAUUGUUUUAUUUUAUUGCUAUUUACAUCAUUGUGUGAAUUCCUUUGCAACAUUUGUUUAUGAAAUUCACACUUAUUCUUGCAACAAAACCUCUAUUUUCUUAAAUUUAUUGCAAGAUGAACAGAAAUAAAUUGAGUCAAAGGUACAGUAGCUUACAAUUCAAUCCCUUGCUCCAGAAAGUUCAUGAACUCAAGCACCUUUUUCAUUUUUCUUGGCUUGAAUAUGCCUGAAAGCAGUUAAGAUAUAUGUGCUUAUGAAUGGAAAAAAAAAAGUGUUUCACAAUUGGAGUGGAGUGAGUCAGGUUAGAAUGAGCUAGAUUCCAUAAAUUCUCAAGCCCUAAUAUUUACAGAUUCUUUCUUAAUGGAUUUAUUGAGAUAUAAUUCAUAUACCAUAUGUCACCCAUUUAAAGUAUGUAAUUUAAUGACUUUUAAUAUAUUCACAGAGUUGUGUAUCCAUCAUCACAAUUGAUUAUAGAAUAUUUUCAUCAUCUCAAAAAAAAGCCUAUAUCCCUCAACCAACACUCCCAAACCUUCUCAUCACCUGACCUGUCCCCCAACCCUAGGUAGCUAAUUACUUUCUUUCCCUUUCUUUCUUCCUUUUCUUUCUUUCUUUUUUCUUUCUCUUUCUUUCUUUCCUUUCUU